RNAcentral lists this ribosomal RNA (426 nucleotides) under uncultured bacterium. Its description in RNAcentral is "bacterial SSU rRNA". It matches the Rfam family "Bacterial small subunit ribosomal RNA", at positions 356 to 773 of the family's 1533-position model. The record is from RNAcentral.
GGGGAAUAUUGGACAAUGGGGGGAACCCUGAUCCAGCCAUGCCGCGUGUGUGAAGAAGGUCUUCGGAUUGUAAAGCACUUUAAGUUGGGAGGAAGAGCUCCGGGCUAAUACCCUGCGAGUUUUGACGUUACCAACAGAAUAAGCACCGGCUAACUUCGUGCCAGCGGCCGCGGUAAUACGAAGGGUGCGAGCGUUAAUCGGAAUUACUGGGCGUAAAGCGCGCGUAGGUGGUUUGUUAAGUUGGAAGUGAAAGCCCCGGGCUCAACUUGGGAAUUGCUUUCAAAACUGACGGGCUAGAGUACGGUAGAGGGUAGUGGAAUUUCCUGUGUAGCGGUGAAAUGCGUAGAUAUAGGAAGGAACAUCAGUGGCGAAGGCGACUGCCUGGACUGAUACUGACACUGAGGUGCGAAAGCGUGGGGAGCAAAC